RNAcentral lists this ribosomal RNA (494 nucleotides) under uncultured bacterium. Its description in RNAcentral is "partial 16S ribosomal RNA". It matches the Rfam family "Bacterial small subunit ribosomal RNA", at positions 28 to 507 of the family's 1533-position model. The record is from RNAcentral.
GACGAACGCUGGCGGCGUGCUUAACACAUGCAAGUCGAACGGAAAGGCCUGCUUUCCCUUGUGGAUUGCGGGUACUCGAGUGGCGAACGGGUGAGUAACACGUGAGUGAUCUGCCCCCAACUUGGGUAUAAGCCUGGGAAACUGGGUCUAAUUCCCGAUAGGACUGCAGGGUGGUGCCUGUGGUGGAAAACGAUUUUCUAGUGGUUGGGGAUGAGCUCGCGGCCUAUCAGCUUGUUGGUGGGGUAAUGGCCUACCAAGGCGGCGACGGGUAGCCGGCCUGAGAGGGUGGACGGCCACAUUGGGACUGAGAUACGGCCCAGACUCCUACGGGAGGCAGCAGUGGGGAAUAUUGCACAAUGGACGGAAGCCUGAUGCAGCGACGCCGCGUGGGGGAUGACGGCCUUCGGGUUGUAAACUCCUUUCGACCGCGAGGAAGCCACCUGGUUGGAAGGGUGGUGACGGUAGUGGUAGAAGAAGCACCGGCUAACUACGUG